GGUUAGAAAGCUUGCUUCGUCGAAGACAGCAUCUGACUCAUAAUCAGAGGGUCCUUGGUUCGAGCCCAAGUGGGACCA
RNAcentral lists this transfer RNA (78 nucleotides) under Formosa sp. Hel3_A1_48. RNAcentral describes it as "tRNA-OTHER". It matches the Rfam family "tRNA". Rfam says of the family: Transfer RNA (tRNA) molecules are approximately 80 nucleotides in length. Their secondary structure includes four short double-helical elements and three loops (D, anti-codon, and T loops). Further hydrogen bonds mediate the characteristic L-shaped molecular structure. tRNAs have two regions of fundamental functional importance: the anti-codon, which is responsible for specific mRNA codon recognition, and the 3' end, to which the tRNAs corresponding amino acid is attached (by aminoacyl-tRNA synthetases). tRNAs cope with the degeneracy of the genetic code in two manners: having more than one tRNA (with a specific anti-codon) for a particular amino acid; and 'wobble' base-pairing, i.e. permitting non-standard base-pairing at the 3rd anti-codon position. Lineage: Bacteria; Pseudomonadati; Bacteroidota; Flavobacteriia; Flavobacteriales; Flavobacteriaceae. The record is from RNAcentral.